This 162-nucleotide non-coding RNA is filed under the name bovine gut metagenome. Its description in RNAcentral is "Lysine riboswitch". It matches the Rfam family "Lysine riboswitch aptamer". Rfam says of the family: Riboswitches are metabolite binding domains within certain messenger RNAs that serve as precision sensors for their corresponding targets. The record is from RNAcentral.
UUAUGAUAGAGGCGCAGAUGCUAAGAGUAUCGUGUUUCCCAGGGCUUCGCAGGCUAUGGAGCGCGUGAAAGGGGUAUCUGCCGAAAGAUGGGCGAGGCGGAACCCCACCUUGGUAGCCCGGAUAAUAUCCGUGUUACUGUCGCUAAUGCGGAGAGCUAUCUU